UUUAUACAUUUUCCUCCAACGCAAAUCAUCCCUUUCCUUUCCCUCUACAUUCCCGAUUGGCAACCGCUCUCCCCUGCCACCUUCGUCUCACUGCGAUAUAAGCUGAUAGGAAAGAGAGGACGAACUCUCCUCACCUCACGCUCCUCCUGUAGUCCUCUACCAAAAUCGUUGUCAAUCCCCUCCUCCCCUCCUCUUGGUUCCGCCCAAAACUAUCUCCUGUGCCUUAAACCCUAGCUUCACCGUGUCAUUUGGAGUUAGCAGAGAAGGCAAUGACGGGAUUGUCGGCUGUUUCGCUCCUACCCAAAACCACUGAAAAAGGUCAGUAGAACUCUUUUGAAGUUUGGUUAGCCAGAUCGACGGACCCACAGAGUGUUGAACCUAUAGGAAAUCUUUAGACUUCUUUGGCUUUGUGACAAAUGCCAACCAUCAUACUAUGCGAUUGGAACGGCAACAGAAGGACCACCUUGAAUAAGUACAAGUUUCAUAUGGAAGUUUUCUCUGGAUUAUUGUUCAUCCUUGAAGGAGAUGGAGAAGCCGUGAGGGAGCCACAGCUAGAUUCCAAACAGUAUUUUCGUUCGGAGUCCAAUGGCAGAGCGCCAUGUGUCAAGUGGGGGGGGGG
This is a long non-coding RNA of Phalaenopsis equestris, 619 nucleotides long. RefSeq lists it as uncharacterized. The record is from RefSeq and is a predicted model, not a curated record. The transcript is spliced from 4 exons. NCBI's taxonomy places the organism in Eukaryota, Viridiplantae, Streptophyta, Magnoliopsida, Asparagales, Orchidaceae.